Molecule: non-coding RNA, 95 nt
Organism: Radiomyces spectabilis
Lineage: Eukaryota; Fungi; Mucoromycota; Mucoromycetes; Mucorales; Radiomycetaceae
Source: the annotation of a RefSeq genome assembly
GCCCCUGUGGCCAAGUCGGUUAAGGCAUAGUGCUUAUAUCUUAAGGGUAUACCAGAGUCACGCUAAGAUCGCGAGUUCGAUCCUCGCCAGGGGCA